AGGAAAUCCAGCAGGCAUCCUAAGAAAAAAGAAGUUGCAAGUGCCCUUCUGCAAAGUGACCCGCCCCUGGUGGUGCCAGCCUCUCUCUGGUUAACCUGAGCCCGGGGGAGUGAAGAAGCCACUCAGAAGACAGAGAGCUUGCUCGGAGGUGAUCCCUUAACCAAAAUCGGGGUAAGUGCCCAGGUGCCACCCCAUUCCAGGUGCCAGAGCUGGAACAUGCAGUUCCGGAGGCCAUGGUUGUGUGGUGCCUACCUUGUGUUCCAGGUCCCUUCUAUAUGGGGCCUCAGGCAGUGGAGGAAUGUACCCUGCCUGGGGGGCAUUUCACCUAUUUGCCCCACACCCUGGGCCUGUGUCCUUCUGUCCUGCACGGAACCUAUGUCCUUCCCCCACCCCUCCCCUACAUAAUGAGUCUCUUCUAUCACACAAUAACUCCUUGGUGGAAAUAAGCACACAGCCUGGGGUACACUGGGCAGGAGGAUGAGGCAUGGGGGUAUCCUUCCCUCCUUCUGAAGCCCCAUGGCGAUCCUGUCCCACUCCUUAAACUACCUGUAUCUCCACACUCUCCCUGUACUCCGUGAAGUCCCCUGAAGGGCAAAAGACAACUCUACUUGCCUUUCUAGAGGACAUGGGCCUUGGCAGGGACCUGGGUACAGCUCCUGCCAAAAGCACCCUGGGCAUCAGCCCCAGGUAAGGGAGCACUCAUGGACCAGCCCCAGGUAAGGGAGGACUCAUGGACCAAUCCAGGGAUAAAACGGAACAUGAGUUUUAUAUCCUGGUGGGUGGGGGGGAAGGGGGCAGGUGUCAGCAGCGAUGGAAAUGUGAGGACACCAGGCCUGGAGCUUCAGUGACUUGGCCAAAGUCCCACGGCUGCCCUCGGUGUGCACUCAGGCUCUGAAACGUCAUGGCUCAUCACGUUUAACCUCCUGUUUCCAUCUGGGUGAUGAAAAGCUAAGGGGAGUUAACGCGCUGCUGCAGCUCAAUGUCAAAGCCAGCUUCAGGCAGAGAACGAAGGAGGGAGCGACUUCGGGGCUGGGUUAUUGUUUUCCCGCAGGCAAGUGGUAGCAGAUGUCAAGGGUUAAGGACAAUUUAGGAGGUUAAGAGUUUCCAGGCUGCACUUGUGUCGGGUGCCUCGGGCGAUGAGCCCAGGAGCCCGCUCUCCACGCAGUGACGCUUCCCAAGCUGGUGCUUUAGGCCCCUCACUUGCCUGGCUGCUCUAAGGCCCCGUCCCUGAUGGCUUCUGACAAUUUGGUGUCCUUUGUAAAGACGACCUCAGAUCCUAUCAGCUUCAGUUUCACAAAACCUGGAUCCCCUGCCUCUGUGGUAUGUCUGGACUGCCCUGGGCAGGCAGGGCCUGGCUCUGAGAUGAAGAUUUCUCAGCACUGAAGGACCGCCUGCCUUUGAGCUGUGAAACUAGUCUGUCCUCACAUAGACACCAGUAAACUGAGGCUUGAGAGGCUCAAGGACACCCCGGAGGCCACGAAGGGUAGAACUCACUCCCCUGCUUCCAUCCCUGUCUUGCAUUCACUGCUGUGGCUCCCAGAAGCAGAGGAGUCUUGCUUUGGAGUUGUGUGUGUGUGCAUAUGUACGUGUAAGGUGUGUACAUGUGUUGCACACGUGUGCGAUGCAUCUGUGCAUAUGUGCACAUGUAUAUAUGUGUGCAUGUGUGUGUAUAUGUGCAUGCGUGGACAUGUGUAUAUGUUUGCAUGUGUAUGUGUGCACACAUGCCUGUGUAUGCACGUGUGUAUGUGUGUGCAUUUGUGCAUGUGUGUUCAUGUGUGCAUGUGUAUGUGCGUGUGGUGGUGAUGAUAGUUGAACAGUCCUGCAGCCCUGGUCCCAUCUGGCCUAUUCCCAACUUGGACUGGCUUCCUGGGGUGGACAUGGACAGGAAAAGAUGCCAGACUCAUAGAGAACCCCUUCUUCCUCCACACCAGAUUGGGUGGGGGGUGGGGAGGCUUUCACCUUAGCAAUAGGCAAUGGUUGAAAUAUCAUUUCCAGGGUGACAUGACAUGAUGUUUGGGAUUUACUUCGAAAGAACAGGGGUGGAGCGGGGGAUACAGAUGAAACAAGACUGGCUCAGUUGAUAAUUGUUGAAGCUGGCUGUUGGGUACCAGGGGUUCCACUAAACUAUUUUCUCUACUUCUGUGUAUGUUUGAAAUGUCCUGGAACAACAAUAAAACACUUAUGUCAUCUCCA
This is a long non-coding RNA of Pan troglodytes (chimpanzee), 2193 nucleotides long. RefSeq lists it as uncharacterized. Lineage: Eukaryota; Metazoa; Chordata; Mammalia; Primates; Hominidae. The record is from RefSeq and is a predicted model, not a curated record. The transcript has 4 exons.